This 240-nucleotide ribosomal RNA is filed under the name uncultured bacterium. RNAcentral describes it as "partial 16S ribosomal RNA". It matches the Rfam family "Bacterial small subunit ribosomal RNA", at positions 118 to 354 of the family's 1533-position model. The record is from RNAcentral.
UGAGCAAUCUGCCCUUCUCUUCGGAAUAAGCGUUGGAAACGACGUCUAAUGCCGAAUACGACCUCCUUUCGCAUGAUCGGAGGUGGAAAGCUCCGGCGGAGAAGGAUGAGCUCGCGGCCUAUCAGCUAGUUGGUGUGGGUAAUGGCCCACCAAGGCGACGACGGGUAGCCGGCCUGAGAGGGUGACCGGCCACACGUGGGACUGAGAUACCGGCCCAGACCUCCGUACGGGGGCAGCAGG